RNAcentral lists this ribosomal RNA (244 nucleotides) under uncultured Staphylococcus sp. RNAcentral's name for it is "partial 16S ribosomal RNA". It matches the Rfam family "Bacterial small subunit ribosomal RNA", at positions 96 to 334 of the family's 1533-position model. The record is from RNAcentral. Lineage: Bacteria; Bacillati; Bacillota; Bacilli; Caryophanales; Staphylococcaceae.
CGGCGGACGGGUGAGUAACACGUGGAUAACCUACCUAUAAGACUGGGAUAACUUCGGGAAACCGGAGCUAAUACCGGAUAAUAUAUUGAACCGCAUGGUUCAAUAGUGAAAGACGGUUUUGCUGUCACUUAUAGAUGGAUCCGCGCCGCAUUAGCUAGUUGGUAAGGUAACGGCUUACCAAGGCAACGAUGCGUAGCCGACCUGAGAGGGUGAUCGGCCACACUGGAACUGAGACACGGUCCAA